Non-coding RNA from Cordylochernes scorpioides, 71 nucleotides. NCBI's taxonomy places the organism in Eukaryota, Metazoa, Arthropoda, Arachnida, Pseudoscorpiones, Chernetidae. The record is from the annotation of a GenBank genome assembly.
GUCGGUGGAAGGCUGGUUAAACCGUUUGGUUUUCGACCACUAGAACGCGGGUUCAAUUCCCGCAUUGGACA